RNAcentral lists this transfer RNA (73 nucleotides) under Allobates nunciatus. RNAcentral's name for it is "tRNA-Asn". Lineage: Eukaryota; Metazoa; Chordata; Amphibia; Anura; Aromobatidae. The record is from RNAcentral.
UAGAAAAAAGCUCACUGGAUAGAGUUUUUAGCUGUUAACUAAAAUUAUAUGGGAUCGAGGCCCAUUUUUCUAG